UUCGCAAUGCCCGAAAGGGUGACGAAGCGACGCCGCGUGUGGGAAGAAGGCCUUCGGGUUGUAAACCACUGUCGGGAGUUAAGAAAUACAAGGAUAUUAAUAGUGUCUUUGUUUGACUAAGGCUCCGGAGGAAGCCACGGCUAACUCUGUGCCAGCAGCCGCGGUAAUACAGAGGCGGCAAGCGUUGUUCGGAAUUAUUGGGCGUAAAGAGCACGUAGGCGGCUAUGUAAGUCGGUUGUGAAAGCCUUCCGCUCAACGGAAGAACAGCAUCCGAUACUACAUGGCUUGAGUGCGGGAGGGGAGAGUGGAACUUCUGGUGGAGCAGUGAAAUGCGUAGAUAUCAGAAGGAACGCCGGCGGCGAAAGCGGCUCUCUGGCCCAUAACUGACGCUGAGUGUGCGAAAGCUAGGGGAGCAAACGGGAUUAGAUACCCCGGUAGUCCUAGCCGUAAACGAUGGGCACUAAGUAGAGGGGUUUU
Molecule: ribosomal RNA, 477 nt
Filed under: uncultured bacterium
Lineage: Bacteria
Description: bacterial SSU rRNA
Rfam family: Bacterial small subunit ribosomal RNA
Source: RNAcentral